AGCAGCCGCGGUAAUUCCAGCUCCAAUAACGUAUAUUAAAGUUGUUGCAGUUAAAAAGCUCGUAGUUGAAUUUCGGGAUCAAGGCGUCGGUCGUGCUUCGGUACGUACUGGCGUCAUUGAUUUCUCCCUUCUGACGAACCAUGAUGCCAUUAACUUGGUGUUAUGGGAAAUCAGGACUGUUACUUUGAAAAAAUUAGAGUGUUUAAAGCAAGCUAACGCUUGAAUACAUUAGCAUGGAAUAAUGAAAUAGGACGUUCGAUCCUAUUUUGUUGGUUUCUAGGAUUGACGUAAUGAUUAAUAGGGAUAGUUGGGGGCAUUAGUAUUCAAUUGUCAGAGGUGAAAUUCUUGGAUUUAUUAAAGACUAACUACUGCGAAAGCAUUUGCCAAGGAUGUUUUCAUUAAUCAAGAACGAAAGUUAGGGGAUCGAAGACGAUCAGAUACCGUCGUAGUCUUAACCAUAAACUAUGCCGACUAGGGAUCGGAUGAUGUUAAUUUUUAAUGACUCAUUCGGCGCCUUACG
This 520-nucleotide ribosomal RNA is filed under the name uncultured Glomus. Its description in RNAcentral is "SSU rRNA". It matches the Rfam family "Eukaryotic small subunit ribosomal RNA", at positions 569 to 1092 of the family's 1831-position model. Lineage: Eukaryota; Fungi; Glomeromycota; Glomeromycetes; Glomerales; Glomeraceae. The record is from RNAcentral.